CCUACGGGAGGCUGCAGUGAGGAAUAUUGGUCAAUGGGCGAGAGCCUGAACCAGCCAAGUCGCGUGAGGGAGUACUGCCCUAUGGGUUGUAAACCUCUUUUGUCGGGGAGCAAAAGCCGGACGUGUCCGGCUGUUAGAGUACCCGAAGAAAAAGCAUCGGCUAACUCCGUGCCAGCAGCCGCGGUAAUACGGAGGAAGCGAGCGGUAUCCGGAUUUAUUGGGUUAAAUGGGUGCGCAGGCGGAUUUUUAAGUCAGCGGUCAAAUCGUGGGGCUCAACCCCAUCCAGCCGUUGAAACUGAGGAUCUAGAGUGUGCGAAGGGUAUGCGGAAUGCGUGGUGUAGCGGUGAAAUGCA
RNAcentral lists this ribosomal RNA (353 nucleotides) under uncultured bacterium. RNAcentral describes it as "partial 16S ribosomal RNA". It matches the Rfam family "Bacterial small subunit ribosomal RNA", at positions 338 to 690 of the family's 1533-position model. The record is from RNAcentral.